Molecule: small RNA, 546 nt
Filed under: Pongo abelii (Sumatran orangutan)
Lineage: Eukaryota; Metazoa; Chordata; Mammalia; Primates; Hominidae
Description: retained intron
Source: RNAcentral
AGUAUUGCAUAUCCAGGAUUCAGAAUCUCCUCCUCAUCUACCUUCCUUGGCUCCUUUGACAUCUCUGUGGAAACAUUAUUGACACUAUGUUUUCUUUUCUUAAACAGGUGGACUCUGCAUUGCCCAGUCCGUGAGAAUCCCCCAGGAACGCAAAGACAGGACCAUUGACUUUGAUAGAAUUAUCAAACAGCUCCUGGACACCCCCAACUCCAGGGCCGUCGUGAUUUUUGCCAACGACGAGGAUAUAAAGCAGAUCCUUGCAGCAGCCAAAAGAGCUGACCAAGUUGGCCAUUUUCUUUGGGUGGGAUCAGACAGCUGGGGAUCCAAAAUAAACCCACUGCACCAGCAUGAAGAUAUCGCAGAAGGGGCCAUCACCAUUCAGCCCAAACGAGCCACAGUGGAAGGGUUUGAUGCCUACUUUACGUCCCGUACACUUGAAAACAAUAGAAGAAAUGUAUGGUUUGCCGAAUACUGGGAGGAAAACUUCAACUGCAAGUUGACAAUUAGUGGGUCAAAAAAAGAAGACACAGAUCGCAAAUGCACAGG